GGUAAAUGUCACGAUGUACGGAAUCGAAAGUAAAUACUCUCUCGCUCUCAGUUUGCACAGUCCGGGUGGAUAAAAGAGGUCGGAGUUUUGUAUGAAUAAAUCUGAAAAAAUAAGAAAUUAUUAUUAUUAAUAUUAUAUUUAUCUACAUAUGUAUAUGUAUGCAUGUAUGUAUAUUUUUUUUAUAACUAUUAACAACCGUACUUAUAUACGAGCGAAGGAAAAAAAAGUUGGUUGGUGGAAUGAAGAGAUUGACAGCUAAAGCUCAUUAUCCCAGAAAAGCCUUUUUGAAAUUGAAAAGAGUUGGAAAACACCCGCUUGUAGUGGGAUAUGGGGAACCAACGUUUCGAAGCCACACUGUCGGCCACUCAAUUGCAGUCGACGAUCGUUUGGACCACUGCUCUCAUAUAUGUAGAUAAAUAUUAUGCAUGUAUAUGAAUGUUUGUAUGUAUAUAAUAACUUCAAUUUCUUAAAAAAAAAACUUACGAAAUAAAUUUUCAUAAUCAACAGCAGUUUCUGGUGUACGCCUCUCUGCUAAUAUUUUUAAAAAUACUUUAUCAAUACCAGGAUAUUUUCGACGUAAUCUCGUGAAAUAUUGUUCGGCGUUGUUUAAGUCGCACAUGACAGUACUUUAUUUUGAACUUUUAUUAGAAAAAAAA
Molecule: long non-coding RNA, 656 nt
Organism: Ceratitis capitata (Mediterranean fruit fly)
Lineage: Eukaryota; Metazoa; Arthropoda; Insecta; Diptera; Tephritidae
Exons: 2
Source: RefSeq, a predicted model, not a curated record